This 480-nucleotide ribosomal RNA is filed under the name uncultured bacterium. RNAcentral describes it as "partial 16S ribosomal RNA". It matches the Rfam family "Bacterial small subunit ribosomal RNA", at positions 28 to 505 of the family's 1533-position model. The record is from RNAcentral.
GACGAACGCUGGCGGCGUGCCUAACACAUGCAAGUCGAACGGAACUGUUUUGAAAGCUUUCUUCGGAAUGAAUUUGAUUUAGUUUAGUGGCGGACGGGUGAGUAACGCGUGAGUAACCUGCCUUCAAGAGGGGAAUAACAUUCUGAAAAGAAUGCUAAUACCGCAUGACAUAUCGGAACCACAUGGUUUUGAUAUCAAAGAUUUUAUCGCUUGAAGAUGGACUCGCGUCCGAUUAGUUAGUUGGUGAGGUAACGGCUCACCAAGACCGCGAUCGGUAGCCGGACUGAGAGGUUGAACGGCCACAUUGGGACUGAGACACGGCCCAGACUCCUACGGGAGGCAGCAGUGGGGGAUAUUGCGCAAUGGGGGCAACCCUGACGCAGCAACGCCGCGUGAAGGAUGAAGGUUUUCGGAUUGUAAACUUCUUUUAUUAAGGACGAAAAAUGACGGUACUUAAUGAAUAAGCUCCGGCUAACUACG